RNAcentral lists this ribosomal RNA (253 nucleotides) under uncultured bacterium. RNAcentral describes it as "partial 16S ribosomal RNA". It matches the Rfam family "Bacterial small subunit ribosomal RNA", at positions 524 to 776 of the family's 1533-position model. The record is from RNAcentral.
UACGGGGGGGGCUAGCGUUGUUCGGAAUUACUGGGCGUAAAGGGCGCGUAGGCGGACAGUUAAGUUGGGGGUGAAAGCCCGGGGCUCAACCUCGGAAUUGCCUUCAAUACUGGCUGUCUUGAGUGUGAGAGAGGUGUGUGGAACUCCGAGUGUAGAGGUGAAAUUCGUAGAUAUUCGGAAGAACACCAGUGGCGAAGGCGACACACUGGCUCACUACUGACGCUGAGGCGCGAAAGCGUGGGGAGCAAACAGG